AAGUCGUAACAAGGUUUCCGUAGGUGAACCUGCGGAAGGAUCAUUAACACGUUCCACGUAUCAACCCGAGCACUCGUUUUUACUCUGAUUAAGCUCCAGUUUAGCACCCUACAAACCUCGCAUUUCAGUCCGCAAACGAUAAGGAAACAGACUGAUCAAGUCUGGCGGCUGGCGAUUUGGUAUAGUCUCCUCUGCAUGCAGAGGAGAAAGGGCUCUGGAUGUCUGGUCAUGCUUCUAUUCCUUGUCGAUCUUUCACAAUCAUUUACCCCAUUCCAAAACGUACUAAUUUAUAUUUCUUUCUUAAGAAAUUGGAACACUUUCUGCUGCUUUACCGCAGUCGGGAGCGCUCUAACCAACUAAGAAAAACCUUAAGAACAACUCUUAACAACGGAUAUCUUGGUUCUG
This 405-nucleotide unclassified non-coding RNA is filed under the name fungal sp. RNAcentral describes it as "partial internal transcribed spacer region". The stretch from base 1 to 46 matches the Rfam family "Eukaryotic small subunit ribosomal RNA", at positions 1786 to 1831 of the family's 1831-position model. The record is from RNAcentral. Lineage: Eukaryota; Fungi.